This is a long non-coding RNA of Haliotis rubra (blacklip abalone), 425 nucleotides long. RefSeq lists it as uncharacterized. The transcript is spliced from 2 exons. Lineage: Eukaryota; Metazoa; Mollusca; Gastropoda; Lepetellida; Haliotidae. The record is from RefSeq and is a predicted model, not a curated record.
GUGUCACGCCCGGGGAGACUGUUACCGUCACCUGCUCAAGACCCGUCACGGGUCGCUUUGUCAGAAUCAGCGGUAAAAACAAGUUAAAUUUAGACGAUAUGCUCCAAAUGUGUGACGUACGAGUGUUUGGAGAGGCAAUAUCUACACAUUUCGAUUCAUGCGCAUCCCUCGUUCAAUAUAAACAACAACAUUCCACCAAGACUCCACUGAAGACCAUCAGCGAAGGAAUCGACAAUACUGCAGCAUGUGCUGCUGCAUGCGAACGCUCGGAGUCCUGCACGGGCUUCAGCAUCAGACACCUACCGGCCACAGUGUGUGAACUGCUUCAAGGGGAGAUAAGUCACUCACUUCAGGCUGACGUCCAAUGGGACAGUUACGUGUAUCAAGGAUGCUUCAGUGUGUGCGAAUAAAACUAUAAACUCUUA